CUGGCCUCCUGUCACUUGGCUGGCUGACUUAAAGCCUGUGAAGGCUGCAGUGUGGGGGUAAGGUCGGCACCAGGACAGGCACGAGCAUGCAGCGGCUGAACGCUGUUGACUGGAUACUGAGGCAAUGUGAAUGGCGCUGUACCCCCUGGGAGCCUGAUGGAGGCCUGUACUCCAAGACCACAUCUGGAGGUGUGAAAAGCCUGUGCCUGCCGCAAGGCUGAGAGGCAGGGCAGGUGUUUCCCUGUUUCCCAUCACUUGCUUCUUGAUGGGACAGAUUCUUUUUCCAAGUCUGACAUUUCUCUUUGCACCCCUAUUGAAUAUGUAAGUGGCCCUUAGUCUGUUCAGCCCCUUACAUUGUAACUUAAAAGCCUGUUAUUAUUAUGUUUAAUUUUCACUCGGA
Long non-coding RNA from Alexandromys fortis (reed vole), 400 nucleotides. RefSeq lists it as uncharacterized. Lineage: Eukaryota; Metazoa; Chordata; Mammalia; Rodentia; Cricetidae. The record is from RefSeq and is a predicted model, not a curated record. The transcript has 2 exons.